RNAcentral lists this transfer RNA (73 nucleotides) under Ktedonobacteraceae bacterium. RNAcentral describes it as "tRNA-Met". It matches the Rfam family "tRNA". Rfam says of the family: Transfer RNA (tRNA) molecules are approximately 80 nucleotides in length. Their secondary structure includes four short double-helical elements and three loops (D, anti-codon, and T loops). The record is from RNAcentral. Lineage: Bacteria; Bacillati; Chloroflexota; Ktedonobacteria; Ktedonobacterales; Ktedonobacteraceae.
GAUGGUAUAGCUCAAGCGGCAGAGCGGUAGUUUCAUAGGCUACGGGUUGCAGGUUCAAGUCCUGCUGCCAUCA